GUAAACUAUAGCAAGCAAUCCUGCGGGCGGCUUCGGCUGCUCGUGGGUAACAUGGAUAACCCUGGUAAUUCUGAGGCUAAUACAAGAACGUACUCCCUGGCUGACCGGCAACGGAAGGCUGGGGAGCGUGCAACGUAUCGUAGGGAUAAACCGGGAAUGGGUGCACGCUUGGACCGCGCUAAAGACAGAUCUCGGCGAGCCUUCGGGUGAGCCUUGGCCUGAGCGGCUCUUGCUGUGUGCUUCUGACCUAUCAACUAGACGGCAGCGUAAGGGACAUGCUAUGGUUACAACGGGUACAGAGGAUUAGGGUUCGAUCCUGGAGAGUGGGCCUGAGAGAUU
RNAcentral lists this ribosomal RNA (339 nucleotides) under Polyschismium chailletii. Its description in RNAcentral is "bacterial SSU rRNA". It matches the Rfam family "Eukaryotic small subunit ribosomal RNA", at positions 112 to 405 of the family's 1831-position model. The record is from RNAcentral. Lineage: Eukaryota; Evosea; Eumycetozoa; Physariida; Didymiaceae.